This 901-nucleotide ribosomal RNA is filed under the name uncultured Granulicatella sp. Its description in RNAcentral is "bacterial SSU rRNA". It matches the Rfam family "Bacterial small subunit ribosomal RNA". Lineage: Bacteria; Bacillati; Bacillota; Bacilli; Lactobacillales; Carnobacteriaceae. The record is from RNAcentral.
GACGAACGCUGGCGGCGCGCUUAACACAUGCAAGUCGAGCGAUGAAAUCUUAACAGAACCCUUCGGGGCGAAGAUAAGACGGAUUAGCGGCGGACGGGUGAGUAACACGUGAGUAACCUGCCUUUUACACAGGGAUAGCCUCGGGAAACCGGGAUUAAAACCUGAUGAAACUAUCAAAUCACAUGAUUAAGAAAGUUAAAACUCCGGUGGUAAAAGAUGGACUCGCGUCCCAUUAGCUAGUUGGUGAAGGUAACGGCCCACCAAGGCAACGAUGGGUAGCCGGCCUGAGAGGGUGAACGGCCACUUUGGAACUGAGAAACGGUCCAAACUCCUACGGGAGGCAGCAGUGGGGAAUAUUGCACAAUGGGGGAAACCCUGAUGCAGCGACGCCGCGUGAGCGAAGAAGGCCUUCGGGUCGUAAAGCUCUUUUAUAUGGGAAGGAUAAUGACGGUACCAUAAGAAAAAGCCCCGGGCUAACUACGUGCCAGCAGCCGCGGGUAAUACAUAGGGGGCUAGCGUUGUCCGGAAUCACUGGGCGUAAAGGGUUCGCAGGCGGUAAUGCUAGUCAGAUGUAAAAGGCAAAGGCUCAACCCUUUGUAAGCAUCUUGAAACUGUAUAGCUUGAGAAGGUGUAGAGGCCAAGUGGGAAUUUUUUAUUGGUAGCGGGUAAAAUGCCGUAAAUAUUAAAAAAAGAAACACUGGGUGGGCUAUAGGCGACUUUGCUUGGGCAUCAAUCUGGACGCUUAAAGAAACGAAAAGCGGCGUGGAACCAAAUCGGGAUUAGAAUACCCCUGGUAAGUCCAAAGGGGGGAAUUUUCAUCGGUGAAUUUUCAGUCUAAUCGAUAUCUGCCCACCCUCGAGCGGUGGCGCUCAGCUUUCACGUCAUUGUUGUAUUCUAUUUU